RNAcentral lists this ribosomal RNA (498 nucleotides) under uncultured bacterium. RNAcentral describes it as "partial 16S ribosomal RNA". It matches the Rfam family "Bacterial small subunit ribosomal RNA", at positions 30 to 523 of the family's 1533-position model. The record is from RNAcentral.
AUUGAACGCUGGCGGCAUGCCUUACACAUGCAAGUCGAACGGUAACAGGUCUUCGGAUGCUGACGAGUGGCGAACGGGUGAGUAAUACAUCGGAACGUGCCCGAUCGUGGGGGAUAACGAAGCGAAAGCUUUGCUAAUACCGCAUAAGAUCUACGGAUGAAAGCAGGGGACCGCAAGGCCUUGCGCGAACGGAGCGGCCGAUGGCAGAUUAGGUAGUUGGUGGGAUAAAAGCUUACCAAGCCGACGAUCUGUAGCUGGUCUGAGAGGUCGACCAGCCACACUGGGACUGAGACACGGCCCAGACUCCUACGGGAGGCAGCAGUGGGGAAUUUUGGCCAAUGGGCGAAGGCCUGAUCCAGCCAUGCCGCGUGCAGGAUGAAGGCCUUCGGGUUGUAAACUGCUUUUGUACGGAACGAAAAGACUCUUUCUAAUAAAGAGGGUCCAUGACGGUACCGUAAGAAUAAGCACCGGCUAACUACGUGCCAGCCGCCGCCGUAA